AUGCGUCAAUGGCACAUGGGUUCUGACCUGGAGGCCUGGAUGCGGCAGUACCAUAGCAGGAGGUAUCCCUAAACAUGAGGCAUGGAAAGGUCGCUGCAAGAACACUCCCUGUUAGCAACAUACCCUCGGCAGCCCCUCUUCUCUCUGUCCCCCUCCAGUCUCCAAAGAAUCACGGACUGGUCCAGGAGAUGCAACCGAGGAUAUUCCACCCAGAUGCAAAGUCUCAACGAGCGAAGAGUCAGCUCUUGCAGAGGUUUCUCACGGUGCUUCCAGCUCUUAUGUCUCAAUAAAGCAUUUGCAAAAGUG
Non-coding RNA from Podarcis muralis (Common wall lizard), 306 nucleotides. The record is from RefSeq and is a predicted model, not a curated record. NCBI's taxonomy places the organism in Eukaryota, Metazoa, Chordata, Lepidosauria, Squamata, Lacertidae.